ACAGUUUCCACUGCUGUGCAGCAGGCCAGAGUGAAAAGGGAUUUCCAUGCCAUAGCUAGAUUUCACAAUGUCAUUGGAGCAAUUGACUGCACCCACAUCUCAAUAAAAGCACCAUCAUUGAACGAAUUCAACGUCGUCGACAGAAAAGGUUUCCAUUCUGUCAAUGUGCAGGUCAUCUGUGAUUCACAUUUGGAAUUGUUGAAUUUAGUGGACAAAUGGCCAGGUUGGACACAUGAAUAAUUCAUUGUGCAGAACAGUUCAGUUGGUCUUAACCUCCAGGAAGGAGCUGUUGAGGAUGGACGGCUCAUUGGAGACCGGGGCUACCCAUUAAAAACAUGGCUAAUGACUCCCCUCACAAACCCCUCAAACCAACAAGUGGCCAGGUUUGCUACAUUGUCAAGGCUUGCAGUGCGCUCCACAACAUUGCAAUCAAAAACAGCAUUCCACUGAAUGAUCCACCCAGACCCGAUGAGCCCAUGCCUGACAGGGAGUGUUUCCCACCACCCAUAGCCCUGGCACUGAGGACAAUAGUCAAUAUCGGUUUUAGGACUGAUUCAGUCCUGAAGCGCUCGCCAAAGAGGACACCGUUCUUGUAGGCCUGGGGAUGAGGGGGUCAGGCAAAUCACCCACAUCUGUCAAGAUUUCAUGUCUAAAUAUGGUUGCAAAAAUAAAGC
Molecule: long non-coding RNA, 674 nt
Organism: Oncorhynchus mykiss (rainbow trout)
Lineage: Eukaryota; Metazoa; Chordata; Actinopteri; Salmoniformes; Salmonidae
Source: RefSeq, a predicted model, not a curated record